RNAcentral lists this ribosomal RNA (381 nucleotides) under uncultured eukaryote. RNAcentral's name for it is "partial 18S ribosomal RNA". It matches the Rfam family "Eukaryotic small subunit ribosomal RNA", at positions 592 to 976 of the family's 1831-position model. The record is from RNAcentral.
CAAUAGCGUAUAUUAAAGUUGUUGCGGUAAAAAAGCUCGUAGUUGGAUUUCUACCGGAGAUAGCCGGUCGGGUCUUCGACCUUGUAUCUGGUUUUGUCUUUGGUAUCCUCAUAGGGAACGUUUCUGCGCUUUAUUGCGUGGUGCGGUAUCUAUGACUUUUACUUUGAGGAAAUUAGAGUGUUCACGGCAGGCAAACGCCUUGAAUAUAUUAGCAUGGAAUAAUAACAUAGGAUCUUCGUCCUAUUUUGUUGGUUUCUAGGGCUAAGAUAAUGAUUAAUAGGGAUAAUUGGGGGCAUCUGUAUCAACGCGUCAGAGGUGGAAUUCUUGGAUUGCGUUGCGACAAACUACUGCGAAAGCAUUUGCCAAGGAUGUUUUCAUUGA